RNAcentral lists this microRNA (22 nucleotides) under Heligmosomoides polygyrus. Its description in RNAcentral is "hpo-miR-10028-5p". Lineage: Eukaryota; Metazoa; Nematoda; Chromadorea; Rhabditida; Heligmosomidae. The record is from miRBase by way of RNAcentral.
UGACCAUGGACUGAUAGAGGCG